GGGGGGGGGGGGGGGGGGGGGGGGGGGGGGGGGGGGGGGGGGGGGGGGGGGGGGCGGGGUGGGGGGGUGGUGGCGGCGGGCGGGGGGGUAACACGUGGAUAACCUACCUAUAAGACUGGGAGAACUUCGGGAAACCGGAGCUAAUACCGGAUAAUAUUUUGAACCGCAUGGUUCAAAAGUAGAAGACGGUCUUGCUGUCACUUAUAGCUGGAUCCGCGCUGCAUUAGCUAGUUGGUAAGGUAACGGCUUACCAAGGCAACGAUGCAUAGCCGACCUGAGAGGGUGAUCGGCCACACUGGAACUGAGACACGGUCCAGACUCCUACGGGAGGCAGCAGUAGGGAAUCUUCCGCAAUGGGCGAAAGCCUGACGGAGCAACGCCGCGUGAGUGAUGAAGGUCUUCGGAUCGUAAAACUCUGUUAUUAGGGAAGAACAUAUGUGUAAGUAACUGUGCACAUCUUGACGGUACCUAAUCAGAAAGCCACGGCUAACUACGUG
Molecule: ribosomal RNA, 497 nt
Filed under: uncultured bacterium
Lineage: Bacteria
Description: partial 16S ribosomal RNA
Rfam family: Bacterial small subunit ribosomal RNA
Source: RNAcentral